RNAcentral lists this long non-coding RNA (3419 nucleotides) under Homo sapiens (human). RNAcentral's name for it is "HSALNT0364030". The record is from RNAcentral. Lineage: Eukaryota; Metazoa; Chordata; Mammalia; Primates; Hominidae.
CCAUAGGAGUUGUGCCUUUAGGAGUUUUAAGAAGUUAUUUAGGAGUUUUAAGAAGUUAUUUAAGAAGUGACCUCCAGGUCACAAAGAUAUUCUUCUAUGUUGUUUUCUAAUAACUCACAGAGAGGACAGGAGCAUGAGGCUCAGGUUCCUCCCAACAGAAGCCCCACGCUUUAGGAAUUGCAGAUGGACAUGGAGGAUAAAGAGUUUUGUUUUUUCUCCUUCAGAGGACCUCAUAAGCCAAGGGGAAGGCAACUAGGCAGAGAGGGCUUUAAUUAAAUUUUCUAUUUUUUAAUUUUUCUGAACUUCAGGGGUGCUCAUACUUCGCAUGAUGGAGGGAAUAGUUAAUGAGUGCAGGUUUCCCCCAGGAGGGCUGCCACCACAACGGCUUGAGAUGAGGCGGCCAGCAGCCCCCAUCUCUACUCCAGUCUGAUAAGCUGUGGUGUCAGGCACAGAGGCACCUGUGAAGUUGGAAGACAGUGGAAAGGAAGAAGGUGACAGCCUGUGCUGUCAUGAUAAUGUCAUGGUAUGGAGGGCCCUGGCCUCCGUCGUAGGGGGCCCAUGUGAAGGGUUGGCCUCCAUGGCCUGUGAGCAGGAGCCUGGCUCAGGGAACCUGGGGCCUCUAUUCUUGGCUGGGCUUUGCUUCCUGGGGCCAUCCCUUGAACACAUCACUCCUACAUGAUGAUGAAUUCUAGAAAAUUAAAGCAGGGCAGGGGGAGUUUGAAUGUCACCCUUUUUCUUACUGAUGAGGAAACAGACCCAGAAUGAGGAAGCAGCUUACGGAAAAUUGCAUGGUUUGUGGGCUGGAGACCCAGGGCCAGGGCUCCAGCUGCUUCACCUGGAAAAAUCCUGGACUUUGGAGACAGACAGUCCUGGGUUUGAACCUAGCUCUAAGAGCCAUUUAUUAAAUAAUUUCACAAAUAAAGGUGAUGUUUGCCACCAUGGUCAGUGCUUUAAGUGAAUCUACUCAGAGCUGUGAAAUCUUGGGGGAAUUUGACCCAGUCACAGUUGAGAGAAGGUUCUGGAAGGAUAUGGGCUAAGGUCUACAGAUGAAUAAAAGUUAAGCUGGUAGAGAGGGAAGAGCUUGUAGGAUGGACAGAGGGAUGGUUGGAUGAGUGACAUGAGCCUGAGUUUAAGAGGUUGACUAUUUCUUCACCCUGUCCUCUCUCUUAGCCUGUGAAGGCUUGCUGGUAAAUUGCUAAAUCUGGCAGAGAAUGAGGAAAGGAAGAUCUCUUUCCCUGGCUAUCAAUUGUUUGAGUGUUUCACUUAAAGUUGAGCACCUGUUCUAUUGAAGUGCCCACCUCUGUUCCUCUCCAUUUCUUUGAACCCUAUCACUGGUCCUUGGGAAGGGUAAAUGCAAAAGAAAAAAAAAGUGAAAGCAGUGUUAAUCAUGCUGAAAUGUAAUGCGCCCCUCUGAACCUUGGAAGAUGAGAAAUUAUACAUGCUGAUUUCAUCCGCUACUUAACUCAGGGGGUGACAGGCUGCAAUUGAAGAGGCUUUGGCAGGUUAAGUGCUGCAAACCCUUGCCCAGGCUCUUAAGCAUCUCUCGGAAACCUCUGAGACUCGUUGGUAAUUUGGUGGUGUCAUUUGGAGUGACUCCUGGCCCUGCCAGCUGCAGGGACAGUUCCCAGUUAAAAAAAAAAUGAUUUCAUUCUCAGCUAGGAUGUGGUCUGUUCUUUUUUUGUCUGGGGACCGGAGACUGUUAAGGGAAAAGAGAGUGGGGAGGAGAUUCUGCAAAGAAAUAAAAGCAGACAAGAAUGGGCUUGUGUACAUUGCAACCACCAAAGCCCCCUCAACAAAGCUUCAUCAUUACUGGAAUCAGGAAAGAAAAGGGAGAAAACUAACAUUUAUUUGACAUUUACUGUGUACCAAGUACCUGUCAUUCCUGAACGUAUUGACUCCACACAUCUCCGCGAGACAGCUGUUGUUAUGUGGAGAAAUUAGGCUAAUUAAUUUGCCCACUACGAUGAUGACAACAAUGAUGACGAUGGUGAUAAAAGCUUAUAUUUAUAUGGCAGAGACUAUUAUAAACUCCUUAUCUGCAUUAUUCACUCCUCACAAUAACCCUGUGGGGUAGGUGCUGUUAUGAUCCACAUUCUUCAGAUGAGGAAAAUCAGGCCUAGAAAGAUAAAAUAACUUGCCCCUUAGCUGGUAAAUGGCAGGACUGGGGUUCAAAUGUAGGCAGAUUGCCUGCAGAACCUGUGCUUUUAACCACUAGGAUGGAAGUUGGAAAGCAAGACUGACAUAGUCUAAACAUCCUUGCCCUUUCAGCCACACCUGGCUGUCCCAUCUCAUACUGAUAUAAAUAGUAUUACAGUGUAAGCUCCAAAGGGCAGUAGCUGUGGCUGUCAUGUUCAUCAUUGUGUCCUCAGCGCCUGGCCCAGAGCUUGGCAAAAAUGUUUCUGGAAUAGACAAUGGGAUUUAGAGAAGGCUGGUCAGAAGGCAGCAGGGGUCAGCCUCUUGUGGGUAUUUGCCUUCUGUCUCUGGUUUUAUUCUGCUACGUGACUAACCAAAUUGUCCUGACACCAUUUACUGAAUAGUCUAUUCUUUCCUCCUAUUGAUUUGACUGCCACUUCCAGCAUAUUUGAAAUCCCACAGAUACAUAGUCUCUGUAUUUUUUUUUUCUGUUGCGAUAUUUAUUUUCCAUCUAUAACACACAGUUUAAAUAACAUAUCUUGCUAUCUGGAAAAGCAACUGUACUUUCUUUCUUCUUCUUUUCAAAGUAGUCUAUUUGUGCCAUUCAGGGUCUCUGCAGGAAAUAGACAGCACUCUCAAAAGGGGUGACUGAAGAGUUCAAUGAAUGGACUAUUUACAAAGGUGUGGAUAAGGACAGGGACUCAAGAAGCAGUGCUGAAGCCCCCAGAGACUAGCAACACUGGGAGUGUGACAAAACUAAGUCUAAGGGGUGAAGAGAAGAUACACGUAUUAGAACCUAGGAAAACUUGCUCGAUGGAUGAGGAUUCAUUGAAGGGUUUGGAGCUGAUGAUGAAUUUAGUUCAUACUUAAAAAAUAAUUAUCUGACAUUGUGGUAGGGACAUGAACUAGUCCAGCAGAGAACUGUAUUUGAGGCUGGUGAUGGUCAUCAUCCUGACCACUGAUGAGAUCCACCACUGGGUGGCUCACAGUGCUACUGCCUGGGGCUUUUUGUAUCUUUGUGUGACCUCUUUGAGCCUUGACAUCCAUUCUCCCUUGUUAAAUGGCACCAAGUCCUUAUGAGAAUCAAAGAAAUGAAAUAAAAUGCACUUGCAAUAGAGUGCCACUCACCAAAUGUUCAUUUCCCUUGACUUCCUUCAAGAUUCCCUGUAAUGCAUUAAUCAGGACACUGGGUAGGGUUCAUCAGCCAGCUCUGCCUUCCCCGAAGAUCUCCGUGUCCUGUCCUGGAAACAACGUCAACUUAAAAUAACGUUUAUAAUACAAGGAUG